This 253-nucleotide ribosomal RNA is filed under the name uncultured bacterium. RNAcentral's name for it is "partial 16S ribosomal RNA". It matches the Rfam family "Bacterial small subunit ribosomal RNA", at positions 524 to 776 of the family's 1533-position model. The record is from RNAcentral.
UACAGAGGGUGCAAGCGUUGUUCGGAAUUACUGGGCGUAAAGCGCGUGUAGGCGGCUCUUCAAGUCAGGCGUGAAAGCCCUGAGCUCAACUCAGGAACUGCGCUUGAUACUGUCGAGCUAGAGUGUGGAAGGGGCAAUCGGAAUUCCGUGUGUAGCGGUGAAAUGCGUAGAUAUACGGAGGAACACCAGAGGCGAAGGCGGAUUGCUGGGCCAACACUGACGCUGAGACGCGAAAGCCAGGGUAGCAAACGGG